Molecule: long non-coding RNA, 569 nt
Organism: Schistocerca gregaria
Lineage: Eukaryota; Metazoa; Arthropoda; Insecta; Orthoptera; Acrididae
Exons: 3
Source: RefSeq, a predicted model, not a curated record
AAAAAGUUUUUUUCUUUUUUUUUUCGAUCGAAUAGUUUGAGAUCCCUCACUUCCCUCGCUUCUUCUCUUAUACCCGGCGAGUGUACCUCUACUUCCCCGUUCUCUGAAUACGAGCCGUUUUAAUUAAAUCAAUAUGCCGAAGCCCCUCAAUAAUCUGCGGAUCCUCAAAAAGAGGACUUCGCGAUUCCGCCGCCACCAUGCCGAGCGAUAUUACAGACUUUCUAGGACCUCGUACAGGAGACCGCGUGGAAUUGACAACCGCAUGAGGCGCAGAAUCAAAGGGACUAGAGCAUUGCCGAGCGUGGGUUAUGGGUCUGAUAAAAGGACACGAUUUUUGCUUCCCUGUCAUUACUACAAGUACCGUGUGAGCAAUGCUAAAGAUCUUGAUGUUCUUCUUAUGCACAAUCGACGAUACGCGGCAGAAGUUGCACACAACGUCUCUGUCAAAAAAAGACGUGAAAUUCUCGAGCGCGCCGCUCAACUCGAUAUCAAAAUAUUGAACCCUCAUGCUCGCCUCCGCACCGAAGAUAGCCAAUAAAGUAAACAUUUCCUCAACCAUUAAAAAAAAA